RNAcentral lists this transfer RNA (73 nucleotides) under Cellulomonas sp. RNAcentral's name for it is "tRNA-Arg". It matches the Rfam family "tRNA". From Rfam's summary of the family: Transfer RNA (tRNA) molecules are approximately 80 nucleotides in length. Their secondary structure includes four short double-helical elements and three loops (D, anti-codon, and T loops). RNAcentral also lists the same sequence under 2 other names. Lineage: Bacteria; Bacillati; Actinomycetota; Actinomycetes; Micrococcales; Cellulomonadaceae. The record is from RNAcentral.
GCCCCCGUAGCUCAACGGAUAGAGCAACGGCCUUCUAAUCCGCAGGUUGGCGGUUCGAGUCCGCCCGGGGGCA